RNAcentral lists this ribosomal RNA (253 nucleotides) under uncultured bacterium. RNAcentral's name for it is "partial 16S ribosomal RNA". It matches the Rfam family "Bacterial small subunit ribosomal RNA", at positions 524 to 776 of the family's 1533-position model. The record is from RNAcentral.
GACGAACCGUGCGAACGUUAUUCGGAAUCACUGGGCUUAAAGGGUGCGUAGGCGGUCUGUCAAGUCAGGGGUGAAAUCCUUCGGCUUAACCGGAGAACAGCCCCUGAUACUGACGGGCUCGAGGGAGAUAGAGGCAGCCGGAACUACCGGUGGAGCGGUGAAAUGCGUUGAUAUCGGUAGGAACGCCAGAGGCGCAAGCGGGCUGCUGGAUCUCUUCUGACGCUGAUGCACGAAAGCUAGGGGAGCAAACGGG